Molecule: long non-coding RNA, 412 nt
Filed under: Trifolium pratense (red clover)
Lineage: Eukaryota; Viridiplantae; Streptophyta; Magnoliopsida; Fabales; Fabaceae
Description: long non-coding RNA (TPRA_LNC010749)
Source: RNAcentral
UUGUAGCUGAUUCUUCUAGUAUAUAUACCACUAGAAAAGAGUCGUUGCAAAAAGAACCGUUGGAGUAGAAAACUUUUGUCUUCAAGCAGCCUGUCUUGAUGCAGAUUGGUUGUAUCCAAAACUAAGAAAGAGUUUCAGGUACUUUGACUACUGCAGAGAAGACUUUCCUUAUUCAGCUAACAAGUCUGAAGACCCACGUUCUCAAAAGAGUACAGACAAACUGAGGGUAUCUGAACUGAUCAGGCUUGAAAGGUCCUUUUCUUCAUAGGUAGAAGAGUUGACUUGAAGAGAGAAUCUUCACAGAUUUCAAGAAGCUCUUCAGAGUUUGAUGAAGUUUGUAGUCAGACAAGAAGUUCUGAAGUCUUCAUCCUCUGAAUGUUGUAACUUCUGAAGUCUAACAUCUUCUGAGCGC